RNAcentral lists this long non-coding RNA (746 nucleotides) under Pelobates cultripes (western spadefoot toad). The record is from RNAcentral. Lineage: Eukaryota; Metazoa; Chordata; Amphibia; Anura; Pelobatidae.
CCUCACAGGAGAUCUGAAGGUGCAUUUUAUUAUCUCAGUCCCUUCCUGGGUUAGGCUGACCUCACAGGAGAUCUGAAGGUGCAUUUUAUUAUCUCAGUCCCUUCUUGGGUUAGGUGGCCCUCACAGGAGAUCUGAAGGUGCAUUUUAUUAUCUCAGUCCCUUCCUGGGUUAGGUGGACCUCACAGGAGAUCUGAAGGUGCAUUUUAUUAUCUCAGUCCCUUCCUGGGUUAGGCUGACUUCACAGGAGAUCUGAAGGUGCAUUUUAUUAUCUCAGUCCCUUCUUGGGUUAGGCUGACCUCACAGGAAAUCUGAAGGUGCAUUUUAUUAUCUCAGUCCCUUCCUGGGUUAGGCGGACCUCACAGGAGAUCUGAAGGUGCAUUUUAUUAUCUCAGUCCCUUCUUGGGUUAGGUGGACCUCACAGGAGAUCUGAAGGUGCAUUUUACUAUCUCAGUCCCUUCUUGGGUUAGGCGGACCUCACAGGAGAUCUGAAGGUGCAUUUUAUUAUCUCAGUCCCUUCCUGGGUUAGGCCGACCUCACAGGAGAUCUGAAGGUGCAUUUUAUUAUCUCAGUCCCUUCCUGGGUUAGGCUGACCUCACAGGAGAUCUGAAGGUGCAUUUUAUUAUCUCAGUCCCUUCUUGGGUUAGGUGGCCCUCACAGGAGAUCUGAAGGUGCAUUUUAUUAUCUCAGUCCCUUCCUGGGUUAGGUGGACCUCACAGGAGAUCUGAAGGUGCAUUUUAUUAUCUCAG